Molecule: ribosomal RNA, 253 nt
Filed under: uncultured bacterium
Lineage: Bacteria
Description: partial 16S ribosomal RNA
Rfam family: Bacterial small subunit ribosomal RNA
Source: RNAcentral
UACGGGGGGGGCAAGCGUUGUUCGGAAUUACUGGGCGUAAAGGGCUCGUAGGUGGCCAACUAAGUCAGACGUGAAAUCCCUCAGCUUAACUGGGGAACUGCGUCUGAUACUGGAUGGCUUGAGUUUGGGAGAGGGACGCGGAAUUCCAGGUGUAGCGGUGAAAUGCGUAGAUAUCUGGAGGAACACCGGUGGCGAAGGCGGCGUCCUGGACCAACACUGACACUGAGGAGCGAAAGCCAGGGGAGCAAACGGG